Long non-coding RNA from Esox lucius (northern pike), 1606 nucleotides. RefSeq lists it as uncharacterized. The transcript has 3 exons. NCBI's taxonomy places the organism in Eukaryota, Metazoa, Chordata, Actinopteri, Esociformes, Esocidae. The record is from RefSeq and is a predicted model, not a curated record.
CCUGAAUGGAACUGCAUACAGCAGCCAUUAAGAAAGAGGACUGACUUGAGCAAAAAUAUCGAUAUGGCUUUGCGAAAACAGAUUUUUCGAGUUUGUUCAUUAAACAACACACGUAUGUUGCAUUCCAUAAGGGACUUAAGACUGCAAGUGGAACAUGACCGACCAAACUCCUGCUUUUUCAUCAGCCUGGACGUCGAAGGAAAGCAAGAUAACGCAGUGCUGCGCUACAGAUUCACGGGCGAGAAAGAGGUAGAUCUGUUUUCAACCAUUGUACCUGAGUCAUUCCGGGGUAAAGGUGUUGCAGCGCUCCUGUCAAAGGCUGCCAUGGAAUUUCUGGUGGAAGAAAAUCUGAAGGCUUAUAUAUCCUGUUCGUAUAUUAAGAAAUAUGUUGAGGAAAACACACUGCUUGGUUAUGAUCAUAUUAUAUUCUGAAUGCUGCCUCUAUGGUGCAUAGCACUUGGAAUAGUAUAAUGUCUCCAAUAUACUGUAUAUAUUUACACUGGAUAAUCUAACUACAUAAUUUCCCAAAUGUGCCUUUGAACUGUGACUCCUUAUUUCUUGUGUUCAUGUGAUAAUUUCACCAAAAUAUUCCCCUUCCUAACUGAAAUCCAUUCCCUUAUUGUUUGAUUCAACACUUGCUAUGAAUGUAUUUAUAUUGCGUUUGAUUUCUUUUGGAUGUCUUUGGGAUAUUAGAGUGUGGUUCCUGUCAAAGGUACUUGUGGGUGUGCGUACAAGCGUGUUCGCCUACUGUAGUUACAGGCUGUAAGGUUGCAGUUACAAUGGUACAAUGAGGUCUUAUAAUAACAAAAUAAAAUAAAAAUGACUAAGGUGUAACAAAACCUAAUCAAGACAGGAACAGAACAGUGUUACAUAAGGAAUGGAAACCAAAGGAAUUACUGACAAGAUACAAGAGGGAAGAAGGAACUUACAUAGAGACAGUGAUCAGGAACAUAGGUAAGGGCCAUAACAACAAACAGGUGUCCGUGCUCCAAAUGAGGGAGAUAAGUCGUUGGCUCUGCCGUGCCUCGACGUGACACAGUAUGGAUGCCAAUCUAUGGAUGUCUAUGUCAUUGUAAGAAUGUACUUUUCCUUCUCCAUCCACAUUGACUUGUUGCUGUCCUCCACAUGUUGUCCAUCUACAUCAGCCUUUACCAUAGGAAAAGUAUAUUAUGUUUGGAGAUUCCUUACUUUUUUAAAUAAAAUAAAACCGAAUAUUUUGAAAGCCCCUUUGCUAUGGAAAUGGUAAGAUGUAAGGCUUGCAAAAGCCAAUCAGACAUUUUGUUACACUGGUUUAUUACCCAAGCCUGUCCUGGGCUGGCUGGCUGCUAUUUUGCAUCAUGCAUACUGUAUAAACCUAGCAUAACAACCUUUCAAAGUUUGUCCUAUAGGACUUACUAUUCUACAGGAGUUACCUUACUGAGGAAAGUGUUUAUAGCUACGAGACAUGGCUCAUGGUGUUUCUGACAUUUGAUGAAUUAACAUCCAUUAUAUCUAAUCUAACCUCAACCAGCCAUUUCAAAUCACAUAAUAAAAGCCAGUCAACACAAAAUGUUCCCAUAUAAUAAAAAAUUGUGGUGCCUAUAGGAAUAAGACUAUAUUCAGAUUG